This 403-nucleotide unclassified non-coding RNA is filed under the name soil metagenome. RNAcentral describes it as "partial contains 5.8S ribosomal RNA, internal transcribed spacer 2, and large subunit ribosomal RNA". The stretch from base 1 to 121 matches the Rfam family "5.8S ribosomal RNA", at positions 35 to 154 of the family's 154-position model. The record is from RNAcentral.
GAUGAAGAACGUAGCGAAAUGCGAUAAGUAAUGUGAAUUGCAGAAUUCAGUGAAUCAUCGAAUCUUUGAACGCACCUUGCGCCCUUUGGCUAUUCCGAAGGGCAUGCCUGUUUGAGUAUCAUGAACACCUCAACUCUUCACGGCUUGCCGUGAUGAGUUUGGACUUUGGGGGUCUUGCUGGCCUACGAGCCAGCUCCUCUCAAAUGUAUUAGCUUGCCGGUGUUUGGUGGCAUCACAGGUGUGAUAACUCUCUACGCUUGUGGUUUUCCACUAGGUAACCUUCAGCAAUGGAGGUUCACCGGAGCUCACAAAUGUCUCUCCUUGCCAAGGACAGAUUUUGACCAUUUGAUCUCAAAUCAGGUAGGACUACCCGCUGAACUUAAGCAUAUCAAUAAGCGGAGGA